RNAcentral lists this unclassified non-coding RNA (211 nucleotides) under soil metagenome. RNAcentral's name for it is "partial contains 5.8S ribosomal RNA, internal transcribed spacer 2, and large subunit ribosomal RNA". The record is from RNAcentral.
AACCUUAUGGACCUGCGGGCGUAUACCUGCGGAGGGAUCAUUACCGAGUUUACAACUCCCAAACCCCUGUGAACAUACCUUUAUGUUGCCUCGGCGGAUCAGCCCGCGCCCCGUAAAACGGGACGGCCCGCCGCAGGACCACAAAACUCUGAUUUUAGUGUAACUUCUGAGUCUAAAAAACAAAUAAAUCAAAACUUUUAGCAACGGAUCU